UACGUAGGGGGCUAGCGUUGUCCGGAAUCAUUGGGCGUAAAGCGCGUGUAGGCGGUCCGGUAAGUCCGCUGUGAAAGUCGGGGGGCUCAACCCUCGGAUGCCGGUGGAUACUGUCGGGCUAGAGUGCGGAAGAGGCGAGUGGAAUUCCUGGUGUAGCGGUGAAAUGCGCAGAUAUCAGGAGGAACACCGAUUGCGAAGGCAGCUCGCUGGGACGUCACUGACGCUGAGAACGCGAAAGCGUGGGGAGCAAACAGG
This 255-nucleotide ribosomal RNA is filed under the name uncultured bacterium. Its description in RNAcentral is "partial 16S ribosomal RNA". It matches the Rfam family "Bacterial small subunit ribosomal RNA", at positions 524 to 776 of the family's 1533-position model. The record is from RNAcentral.